GCGCUGCACAGACCAUUCGGAAGACACGGUCCCUGCCCUCUAGGAGCUGACAGGCUAAAGCAACAGGAUGGACAGACAUAUACAUUUCCCCUUCUCUUUUUUUUUUGUUUUUGUUUAUUUGUUAUUUUUGUUUCGUUCUGAUGUAUAUGGACUGCCAGAAUAGGGGGGGUGGUGGUUUGUUCGUGGUGUCUGGGGGAGGAAGGAAUCCUUACCCUGGCUUCCUUAAUCGGGGAAGGCUUCCUGAAGGAGGUGGGCUCAGAGGUCUCGAAGUGCUGCAGCUAAAACUCAUACAACUGCCUUGACUGGGCGAAGUCCUUCUCCUGCUUCAGGGCGACGAGGGGAGGGAGAUGCGCCUUUCAGCGAACCAGGUACUACCAGCACACAACGGCCUAGUAGCCCGGAGCCUGCUACGAAACAGCCUAGCAGCCCUUAUGAAGACAAAGAUAAAGACAAGAAGGAGAAAUCUGCAACUCGACCUAGCCCCUCUCCGGAAAGGAGCAGCACAGCCCCAGAACCACCUGCUCCCACUCCGCUCCUUGCUGAGCGACAUGGCGGCUCCCCACAACCCCUUGCAGCAACCCCCUUAAGCCAGGAGCCAGUGAACCCCCCAUCUGAGGCCUCUCCAACUCGGGGCCGUUCACCACCUAAGUCUCCUGAGAAACUUCCCCAGUCUUCUUCCUCAGAGAGCAGCCCGCCAUCCCCUCAACCUA
This 710-nucleotide small RNA is filed under the name Pongo abelii (Sumatran orangutan). RNAcentral describes it as "processed transcript". Lineage: Eukaryota; Metazoa; Chordata; Mammalia; Primates; Hominidae. The record is from RNAcentral.